UUUACCAGCUGCGCGGCGCACGGGGUGAGUAACGCGUGAAGAACUUGCCUUUUAGCCUGGGACAACUACUAGAAAUGGUAGCUAAUACCGGAUAGUAUCAUCGUAUGGCAUCAUAUGAUGAUGAGAGAUACAUUCGCUAAAAGAGAGCUUCGCGUCCCAUUAGCUAGUUGGUAGUGUAAUGGACUACCAAGGUGACGAUGGGUAGCCGGCCUGAGAGGGUGGACGGCCACAAGGGGACUGAGACACGGCCCUUACUCCGACGGGAGGCAGCAGUGGGGAAUAUUGGACAAUGGGCCACGAGCCUGAUCCAGCAAUUCUGUGUGAAUGAAGAAGGCUUUCGGGUCGUAAAGUUCUUUCGGCAGGGAAGAAGAAAGUGACGGUACCUGCAUAAGAAGCGA
This 398-nucleotide ribosomal RNA is filed under the name uncultured bacterium. RNAcentral's name for it is "bacterial SSU rRNA". It matches the Rfam family "Bacterial small subunit ribosomal RNA", at positions 83 to 493 of the family's 1533-position model. The record is from RNAcentral.